GGGAUCUUAGCUCAGCUGGGAGAGCAUCUGCCUUACAAGCAGAGGUUCACAGGUUCGAGCCCUGUAGGUCCCA
Molecule: transfer RNA, 73 nt
Filed under: Roseburia sp. AF34-16
Lineage: Bacteria; Bacillati; Bacillota; Clostridia; Lachnospirales; Lachnospiraceae
Description: tRNA-Val
Rfam family: tRNA
About the family: Transfer RNA (tRNA) molecules are approximately 80 nucleotides in length.
Source: RNAcentral